This 840-nucleotide ribosomal RNA is filed under the name Glutamicibacter creatinolyticus. RNAcentral's name for it is "bacterial SSU rRNA". It matches the Rfam family "Bacterial small subunit ribosomal RNA", at positions 75 to 889 of the family's 1533-position model. The record is from RNAcentral. Lineage: Bacteria; Bacillati; Actinomycetota; Actinomycetes; Micrococcales; Micrococcaceae.
GGUGCUUGCACCGGUGGAUUAGUGGCGAACGGGUGAGUAACACGUGAGUAACCUGCCCCUGACUUCGGGAUAAGCCCGGGAAACUGGGUCUAAUACCGGAUAUGACUUCCUGCUGCAUGGCAGGGGGUGGAAAGAUUUAUCGGUUGGGGAUGGACUCGCGGCCUAUCAGCUUGUUGGUGAGGUAAUGGCUCACCAAGGCGACGACGGGUAGCCGGCCUGAGAGGGUGACCGGCCACACUGGGACUGAGACACGGCCCAGACUCCUACGGGAGGCAGCAGUGGGGAAUAUUGCACAAUGGGCGAAAGCCUGAUGCAGCGACGCCGCGUGAGGGAUGACGGCCUUCGGGUUGUAAACCUCUUUCAGUAGGGAAGAAGCCCCUUUUUGGGGUGACGGUACUUGCAGAAGAAGCGCCGGCUAACUACGUGCCAGCAGCCGCGGUAAUACGUAGGGCGCAAGCGUUAUCCGGAAUUAUUGGGCGUAAAGAGCUCGUAGGCGGUUUGUCGCGUCUGCCGUGAAAGUCCGAGGCUCAACCUCGGAUCUGCGGUGGGUACGGGCAGACUAGAGUGAUGUAGGGGGAGACUGGAAUUCCUGGUGUAGCGGGUGAAAUGCGCAAAUAUAUCAGGGAGGAACCACCGAUGGGCGGAAGGCAGGGUCUCUCUGGGGCAUUUUACCUGACGCCUGGAGGAGCCGAAAGCAUGGGGGAAGCGAACAAGGAUUAAGAUACCCCUGGGUAGUCCAUGCCGUAAACGUUGGGCCACUAAGGUUGUGGGGACAAUUCCACCGUUUUCCCGCGCCGUAGCUAACGGCAUUAAGUGCCCCGCCUGGGGGAGUACGGCCGC